RNAcentral lists this ribosomal RNA (253 nucleotides) under uncultured bacterium. RNAcentral describes it as "partial 16S ribosomal RNA". It matches the Rfam family "Bacterial small subunit ribosomal RNA", at positions 524 to 776 of the family's 1533-position model. The record is from RNAcentral.
UACAGGGGGUGCAAACGUUGCUCGGAAUCAUUGGGCGUAAAGCGCACGUAGGCGGUUCGUUAUGUCGGAUGUGAAAGCCCUUGGCUUAACCGAGGAAGUGCAUCCGAAACUGGCGAGCUAGAGUACUAAAGAGGCUCGCGGAAUUCCCGGUGUAGAGGUGAAAUUCGUAGAUAUCGGGAGGAACACCGGUGGCGAGGGCGGCGAUCUGGGUAGAUACUGACGCUGAGGUGCGAAAGCGUGGGGAGCAAACAGG